This 201-nucleotide unclassified non-coding RNA is filed under the name uncultured fungus. RNAcentral's name for it is "sequence contains ITS2". The record is from RNAcentral. Lineage: Eukaryota; Fungi.
AACGCAUAUUGCACCUUUUGGUAUUCCGAAAGGUACACUUGUUCGAGCGUCAUAUAAUACUUCAAGUUUAACUUGGUGUUGAAAGUUUUACUUUCGAAAUCUCUCUACGCUUUCUAUCUAGAGUGCAUCGAUUUGUUCCUCUCGUAUGAAAGUCGACAGAAUCUUGACCUCGAAUCAAGUGGGAUUACCCGCUGAACUUAA